UACGUAGGGUGCAAGCGUUAAUCGGAAUUACUGGGCGUAAAGCGUACGCAGGCGGCUUUGCAAGACAGGUGUGAAAUCCCCGGGCCUAACCUGGGAACUGCAUUUGUGACUGCAUGGCUAGAGUUUGUCAGAGGGGGGUGGAAUUCCACGUGUAGCAGUGAAAUGCGUAGAUAUGUGGAGGAACACCGAUGGCGAAGGCAGCCCCCUGGGAUGUGACUGACGCUCAUGCACGAAAGCGUGGGGAGCAAACAGG
Molecule: ribosomal RNA, 253 nt
Filed under: uncultured bacterium
Lineage: Bacteria
Description: partial 16S ribosomal RNA
Rfam family: Bacterial small subunit ribosomal RNA
Source: RNAcentral